This 305-nucleotide unclassified non-coding RNA is filed under the name plant metagenome. Its description in RNAcentral is "partial contains 5.8S ribosomal RNA, internal transcribed spacer 2, and large subunit ribosomal RNA". The stretch from base 1 to 105 matches the Rfam family "5.8S ribosomal RNA", at positions 50 to 154 of the family's 154-position model. The record is from RNAcentral.
GAAAUGCGAUAAGUAGUGUGAAUUGCAGAAUUCAGUGAAUCAUCGAAUCUUUGAACGCACAUUGCGCCCUUUGGUAUUCCUUAGGGCAUGCCUGUUCGAGCGUCAUCUAAACCUUCAAGCCCUGCUUGGUGUUGGGUGCCUGUCCCGCCUCCGCGCGCGGACUCACCUCAAAUCCAUUGGCGGCCCCCGCGUCGGCCACGAGCGCAGCAGAAACGCGAACUCGUGAGCCCGUCCGGGCGGCUCCCAGAAGCUACACCCACCCAGUUUGACCUCGGAUCAGGUAGGGAUACCCGCUGAGCUUAAGC